Molecule: ribosomal RNA, 513 nt
Filed under: uncultured bacterium
Lineage: Bacteria
Description: partial 16S ribosomal RNA
Rfam family: Bacterial small subunit ribosomal RNA
Source: RNAcentral
GACGAACGCUGGCGGCAUGCCUAAUACAUGCAAGUCGAGCGGACAGAAGGGAGCUUGCUCCUGGAAGUCAGCGGCGGACGGGUGAGUAACACGUGGGCAACCUGCCCUUUAGAUUGGGAGAACUUCGGGAAACCGAAGCAAAUACCGAAUAAUACAAGGAACCUCAUGGUUCUCUGUUGAAAGAUGGCCUUUGUGCUAUCACUAAAGGACGGGCCCGCGGCGCAUUAGCGAGUGGGUAAGGUAACGGCGUACCAAGGCGACGAUGCGUAGCCGCCCGGAGAGGGUGAUCGGCCACCCUGGGACUGAGACACGGCCCAGACUCCUACGGGAGGCAGCAGUAGGGAAUCUUCCGCAAUGGACGAAAGUCUGACGGAGCAAUGCCGCGUGAGUGAGGAAGGCCUUCGGGUCGUAAAGCUCUGUUGUGGGGGAAGAAUAGUACCGGCGUAACUACCGGUACCGUGACGGUACCUCACCAGAAAGCCACGGCUAACUACGUGCCAGCAGCCGCCGUAA